UAACUGAAGAGUUUGAUCAUGGCUCAGAUUGAACGCUGGCGGCAGGCUUAACACAUGCAAGUCGAGCGGGGGAAGGUAGCUUGCUACCGGACCUAGCGGCGGACGGGUGAGUAAUGCUUAGGAAUCUGCCUAUUAGUGGGGGACAACAUCUCGAAAGGGAUGCUAAUACCGCAUACGUCCUACGGGAGAAAGCAGGGGAUCUUCGGACCUUGCGCUAAUAGAUGAGCCUAAGUCGGAUUAGCUAGUUGGUGGGGUAAAGGCCUACCAAGGCGACGAUCUGUAGCGGGUCUGAGAGGAUGAUCCGCCACACUGGGACUGAGACACGGCCCAGACUCCUACGGAGGCAGCAGUGGGGAAUAUUGGACAAUGGGGGAACCCUGAUCCAGCCAUGCCGCGUGUGUGAAGAAGGCCUUAUGGUUGUAAAGCACUUUAAGCGAGGAGGAGGCUACUUUAGUUAAUACCUAGAGAUAGUGGACGUUACUCGCAGAAUAAGCACCGGCUAACUCUGUGCCAGCAGCCGCGGUAAUACAGAGGGUGCGAGCGUUAAUCGGAUUUACUGGGCGUAAAGCGUGCGUAGGCGGCUUAUUAAGUCGGAUGAAAUCCCCGAGCUUAACUUGGGAAUUGCAUUCGAUACUGGUGAGCUAGAGUAUGGGAGAGGAUGGUAGAAUUCCAGGUGUAGCGGUGAAAUGCGUAGAGAUCUGGAGGAAUACCGAUGGCGAAGGCAGCCAUCUGGCCUAAUACUGACGCUGAGGUACGAAAGCAUGGGGAGCAAACAGGAUUAGAUACCCUGGUAGUCCAUGCCGUAAACGAUGUCUACUAGCCGUUGGGGCCUUUGAGGCUUUAGUGGCGCAGCUAACGCGAUAAGUAGACCGCCUGGGGAGUACGGUCGCAAGACUAAAACUCAAAUGAAUUGACGGGGCCCGCACAAGCGGUGGAGCAUGUGGUUUAAUUCGAUGCAACGCGAAGAACCUUACCUGGCCUUGACAUACUAGAAACUUUCCAGAGAUGGAUUGGUGCCUUCGGGAAUCUAGAUACAGGUGCUGCAUGGCUGUCGUCAGCUCGUGUCGUGAGAUGUUGGGUUAAGUCCCGCAACGAGCGCAACCCUUUUCCUUACUUGCCAGCAUUUCGGAUGGGAACUUUAAGGAUACUGCCAGUGACAAACUGGAGGAAGGCGGGGACGACGUCAAGUCAUCAUGGCCCUUACGGCCAGGGCUACACACGUGCUACAAUGGUCGGUACAAAGGGUUGCUACACAGCGAUGUGAUGCUAAUCUCAAAAAGCCGAUCGUAGUCCGGAUUGAGUCUGCAACUCGACUCCAUGAAGUCGGAAUCGCUAGUAAUCGCGGAUCAGAAUGCCGCGGUGAAUACGUUCCCGGGCCUUGUACACACCGCCCGUCACACCAUGGGAGUUUGUUGCACCAGAAGUAGCUAGCCUAACUGCAAAGAGGGCGGUUACCACGGUGUGGCCGAUGACUGGGGUGAAGUCGUAACAAGGUAGCCGUAGGGGAACCUGCGGCUGGAUCACCUCCUUA
Molecule: ribosomal RNA, 1531 nt
Filed under: Acinetobacter baumannii
Lineage: Bacteria; Pseudomonadati; Pseudomonadota; Gammaproteobacteria; Moraxellales; Moraxellaceae
Description: bacterial SSU rRNA
Rfam family: Bacterial small subunit ribosomal RNA
Source: RNAcentral